UCAACUGUUGGUUCCUCAAGUUUUUGGUCAACUACUUGUUCUUCAGUUGCUAGUUCUUCAGGUUUCUUUUCAACUGCUAGCUCUUCAUGUGUCUCUUUAACCACUGGUUCUUCAGGUGUUUCUUUCACCUCUGGUUCUUGAGAUUGCUCCUCAAUCACUGAUUCUUGGGGUUUCUCUUCAAUUUUUGGUUUGGGUGUUACUUCAACUGCUGGUUCUUCAGGUUUUCCUUCAACUGCUAGUUCUUCUGGGUUUUCUCCAAUUGCUGCUGGUUCCUCAAGUUUUUCAUCAACUGCUGGUUGUUUAGAUUUUUCUCUAACUGCUGGUUCUUCAGGUUUCUCCUCAACUGUUGGUUCCUCAAGUUUUUGGUCAACUACUUGUUCUUCAGUUGCUAGUUCUUCAGGUUUCUUUUCAACUGCUAGCUCUUCAUGUGUCUCUUUAACCACUGGUUCUUCAGGUGUUUCUUUCACCUCUGGUUCUUGAGAUUGCUCCUCAAUCACUGAUUCUUGGGGUUUCUCUUCAAUUUUUGGUUUGGGUGUUACUUCAACUGCUGGUUCUUCAGGUUUUCCUUCAACUGCUAGUUCUUCUGGGUUUUCUCCAAUUGCUGCUGGUUCCUCAAGUUUUUCAUCAACUGCUGGUUGUUUAGAUUUUUCUCUAACUGCUGGUUCUUCAGGUUUCUCC
RNAcentral lists this unclassified non-coding RNA (678 nucleotides) under Hevea brasiliensis (rubber tree). Lineage: Eukaryota; Viridiplantae; Streptophyta; Magnoliopsida; Malpighiales; Euphorbiaceae. The record is from RNAcentral.